UGAGGGAUGACGGCCUUCGGGUUGUAAACCUCUUUCACCAGGGACGAAGCUUUUGUGACGGUACCUGGAGAAGAAGCACCGGCCAAUUACGUGCCAGCAGCCGCGGUAAUACGUAGGGUGCGAGCGUUGUCCGGAAUUACUGGGCGUAAAGAGCUCGUAGGCGGUUUGUCGCGUCGUCUGUGAAAUUCUGCAGCUUAACUGCAGGCGUGCAGGCGAUACGGGCAGACUUGAGUACUACAGGGGAGACUGGAAUUCCUGGUGUAGCGGUGAAAUGCGCAGAUAUCAGGAGGAACACCGGUGGCGAAGGCGGGUCUCUGGGUAGUAACUGACGCUGAGGAGCGAAAGCGUGGGUAGCGAACAGGAUUAGAUACCCUGGUAGUCCACGCCGUAAACGGUGGGUACUAGGUGUGGGUUCCAUUUCACGGGAUCCGUGCCGUAGCUAACGCAUUAAGUACCCCGCCUGGGGAGUACGGCCGCAAGGCUAAAACUCAAAGGAAUUGACGGGGGCCCGCACAAGCGGCGGAGCAUGUGGAUUAAUUCGAUGCAACGCGAAGAACCUUACCUGGGUUUGACAUACACCAGACGUGGGCAGAGAUGUUGAUUCCCUUGUGGUUGGUGUACAGGUGGUGCAUGGCUGUCGUCAGCUCGUGUCGUGAGAUGUUGGGUUAAGUCCCGCAACGAGCGCAACCCUUGUCCUGUAUUGCCAGCAAGUAAUGUUGGGGACUUGCAGGAGACUGCCGGGGUCAACUCGGAGGAAGGUGGGGAUGACGUCAAGUCAUCAUGCCCCUUAUGUCCAGGGCUUCACACAUGCUACAAUGGCCGGUACAGAGGGCUGCGAUACCGUGAGGUGGAGCGAAUCCCUUAAAGCCGGUCUCAGUUCGGAUCGGGGUCUGCAACUCGACCCCGUGAAGUCGGAGUCGCUAGUAAUCGCAGAUCAGCAACGCUGCGGUGAAUACGUUCCCGGGCCUUGUACACACCGCCCGUCACGUCAUGAAAGUCGGUAACACCCGAAGCCGGUGGCC
This 1022-nucleotide ribosomal RNA is filed under the name Gordonia sp. (in: high G+C Gram-positive bacteria). Its description in RNAcentral is "bacterial SSU rRNA". It matches the Rfam family "Bacterial small subunit ribosomal RNA", at positions 402 to 1435 of the family's 1533-position model. Lineage: Bacteria; Bacillati; Actinomycetota; Actinomycetes; Mycobacteriales; Gordoniaceae. The record is from RNAcentral.